AGAUACCCAGUUAAGUUCUGAUGUCAGGUAAACAACAAAUAAUUUUUUUAGUAUAAGUAUACCCAAUAUAGUAUUUGGGACAUACUUAUACUAAAAUAUUGUUCAUUGUUUAUCUAAAAUUCAAAUUCAAAU
RNAcentral lists this microRNA precursor (132 nucleotides) under Vicugna pacos (alpaca). RNAcentral's name for it is "miRNA (ENSVPAG00000016124.1)". The record is from RNAcentral. Lineage: Eukaryota; Metazoa; Chordata; Mammalia; Artiodactyla; Camelidae.